Molecule: long non-coding RNA, 1165 nt
Organism: Carcharodon carcharias (great white shark)
Lineage: Eukaryota; Metazoa; Chordata; Chondrichthyes; Lamniformes; Lamnidae
Exons: 3
Source: RefSeq, a predicted model, not a curated record
GGUUGGGCGAGAAAGAUGCUGCUACAUUUCAGGAUUUUUAUAUCACUGAAAAACUAAAGUGACAGGCCAUCAUGCAGGACACUGCCAAGAUGAAAAGGAGAAAAAGAGAAGACUGCUUAAUGACUCUUCCUCUACUUGUACAAGAAAUUAAAGAAGAACAAUGCACCAAAAUUGAAUCCUUUUCCAUUUAAGAGAACUAUAACAUUAAGAUGAACAAGGUCCAAAGGCGGAUUCACAGCACUUACAAGAAGCUGUUCUGACAAAGGACUAGACGCUACAACUGAUAGAGGUACAGGGAGAUCACAAUAGAUAUAAUGGUGUUCUCUCUCUCCAGUUUAUAUAAUAAAUCUUUCUUCCCCCAUCCCCUAUUAAAAAGUUGGAAUGGAACCAGGACACAACAGUUUAUCAAAAGCAUCUUAAAGAAAUACAAAAAAAAUCAGAUUAUGCAUUUGGCAUAGAAUCACAACCAUGGCUAUAAUCUCAACUAUUCAGAAAGCUAUAGUGGCGGUUUUCAAAUCAACAUGCUUUAUGAUAUCACAAGCAGAUGCACCCUUGUGUAUGUACUCUACUCAUUCUAUGAUUGUCUAAUGCAGCCUAUAAUCAUAAUUUAGGGCCAUGAUUCCUAAUUUUGCAAGUAAAUGGCAAUAAGUUGCAUUGUACAGAAAUAAAUGAAAUUAUAGUAAGUCAAAAUUGUAGAAAUCGAUGAAUUAAAACCAAAGUGCUGAUAUGAUUCUUUUGCCUCUAUCAACACAUAUCAGAGAACUGUGGCAGCACUGUGUCUCUCUGCAAAGCUCUCUGAUUAUGUCCUGUCUUGCAAAUUUCCCAACUGUUGCACUUGUGUGUAAUAGCUCACUUGGGUGCAGCACGCAAAUGAAUCGGGCAAAGAGGAUCAUAUGCUAAUAAUGAAACCUGCCUGAUUUAUGUCUAUUUAAAUUUGUGAUGGAAAAGCCUGGAAGGGGCAAUCUUUGUUUAUGGCGGUGCGAUGCUCCAUGUCUGAUUUUGUUCGAUGUAUUAGGUGCAAUAACAGAAAAAUUGGCUCAUAUACUUAACCUAUUGGAGCAACUUGUUGAUAUUGUGAAUAAACAUCCUCUGGAGAUGGUGCAGUUUAAUGCAUUCCUGUGACAUUCCUUCAUCCAUUAUCUUAACACAGACAGUAACCCAAUUA